GCCGGAGUGGCGAAACGGGUAUACGCAGGGGACUCAAAAUCCCCCGGCCGGCAACGGCCGUGUCGGUUCGAAUCCGACCUCCGGCACCG
This 89-nucleotide transfer RNA is filed under the name Deltaproteobacteria bacterium. RNAcentral describes it as "tRNA-Leu". It matches the Rfam family "tRNA". Rfam says of the family: Transfer RNA (tRNA) molecules are approximately 80 nucleotides in length. Their secondary structure includes four short double-helical elements and three loops (D, anti-codon, and T loops). Further hydrogen bonds mediate the characteristic L-shaped molecular structure. tRNAs have two regions of fundamental functional importance: the anti-codon, which is responsible for specific mRNA codon recognition, and the 3' end, to which the tRNAs corresponding amino acid is attached (by aminoacyl-tRNA synthetases). tRNAs cope with the degeneracy of the genetic code in two manners: having more than one tRNA (with a specific anti-codon) for a particular amino acid; and 'wobble' base-pairing, i.e. permitting non-standard base-pairing at the 3rd anti-codon position. Lineage: Bacteria; Pseudomonadati; Myxococcota; Myxococcia. The record is from RNAcentral.